Molecule: transfer RNA, 81 nt
Filed under: Candidatus Pacearchaeota archaeon
Lineage: Archaea; Nanobdellati
Description: tRNA-Ser
Rfam family: tRNA
About the family: Transfer RNA (tRNA) molecules are approximately 80 nucleotides in length. Their secondary structure includes four short double-helical elements and three loops (D, anti-codon, and T loops). Further hydrogen bonds mediate the characteristic L-shaped molecular structure. tRNAs have two regions of fundamental functional importance: the anti-codon, which is responsible for specific mRNA codon recognition, and the 3' end, to which the tRNAs corresponding amino acid is attached (by aminoacyl-tRNA synthetases). tRNAs cope with the degeneracy of the genetic code in two manners: having more than one tRNA (with a specific anti-codon) for a particular amino acid; and 'wobble' base-pairing, i.e. permitting non-standard base-pairing at the 3rd anti-codon position.
Source: RNAcentral
GCCCACGUCGCAUAGCGGUAUUGCAGCGGAUUGCUAAUCCGCGCCCUUACGGGCUCCCAGGUUCGAAUCCUGGCGUGGGCG